Long non-coding RNA from Sarcophilus harrisii (Tasmanian devil), 731 nucleotides. RefSeq lists it as uncharacterized. The transcript has 3 exons. The record is from RefSeq and is a predicted model, not a curated record. Lineage: Eukaryota; Metazoa; Chordata; Mammalia; Dasyuromorphia; Dasyuridae.
AUGAAAAUAAGAUGGAAUGGAAUAGGGGCAAAGGAGGUUCCUGUUUCUAACAUCUAACCCUUACUCCCUUUUUUUGUUCCAGGGUGAAGUGGGUCAGAUGGAGCACAAAAGGCAUUGACAAUCAGCACACUCUGGUCAAACCACUUCCCUUUUUUGAAAAGUUGCAAAUAAGCUUCAUUGUUAGGAAAAAUCUAAUAAUUAGAGCUGCCAAAAAGUGGAAUGGAUUGCCUGGUGGGGAAGGGAGAUUUAUUGAAAGUCUUCAGACAAAGGCUAGAGGGCACUCCUCAGGUCAUAUAUAUCCUCCAAUGCCAAAUACAGUGCUUUUCCCACAGCAUUUACUAAGGAAGGAAGGAAGAUCAGUGUGGGUCAUAGAAAUCAGAUAAGGCUUCUUGGAGCAGAAGAUCCUAGUCUGAGAGCUGGAGCUAGAGCCAACAUGUUGCAGCAGAAAGCAAUCAUUCAUCUCUCCUGAUAUUCUAACAAAUCCUGUGCUUGUGUAACUGAAAAGUGAAUAAAACCAGAGACUGCACUCAUGUUCACACCAUACUAAUUCUGGUUCUGUACCCAGGAACUGUUUAUUCAAGACCUAAGAAUAAUUGUUUUGGGUCCUGCCUUUUUGUGGUUUUCAGGAAUAAAAGCCCUAUCCCUGCUACAAGACACAAGUCCUCCUACUUAGAGGGACUUCAGUUUGCAAACUUGCUUUCCUCAUUCUGAAAUUAAUUAAACUUCUAUUU